UGGUUUUUGUCGAGCAGGAGUGAGGCUGGACGCUGAAUACACCUGCGGCGCGAGGGUCACCAUAUUCAGCUGCUGCAGCUUGGACACCAACAUCACCUUACAGACCAACAGGUGUCACCACUUUGUCCACAACAUUGUCCACGAUCGCCGAGACGUCAUCCACGAUCACAGAGACAUGGUCCAUGAUCGGAGAGACAUUGUUGAGGAUG
This is a long non-coding RNA of Lates calcarifer (barramundi perch), 209 nucleotides long. RefSeq lists it as uncharacterized. The transcript has 3 exons. Lineage: Eukaryota; Metazoa; Chordata; Actinopteri; Centropomidae. The record is from RefSeq and is a predicted model, not a curated record.